Long non-coding RNA from Pseudopipra pipra, 12685 nucleotides. RefSeq lists it as uncharacterized. The record is from RefSeq and is a predicted model, not a curated record. The transcript has 3 exons. NCBI's taxonomy places the organism in Eukaryota, Metazoa, Chordata, Aves, Passeriformes, Pipridae.
GACUGCUACCUCAAGUGAUUGGAGAACUAGUGUGUUUAAGUAUGUUUGUUGGUGUUUCUGAUGAAGUCUGUGUGAGUGAAGAAUAUGAUUUUGGUGAUAAAUUUGUGUAUGUCUGAUUUUGAAGUGUGUGUAACUGUAUACCAUGGACUUGUACAGCACAUUGGAAACGUGUGUUCACCUCUCCAGCUUUCAGCGAGUAUGCUCAAAGUAUUUUUUUAUUAAAAUGGUUUGACACUUUUUCCUUUUCUGAUAGAUUUGACAGCGAGUAAGAAUACUUUUGUAACUUUUAAUUUACAUAUAAACUAUAUAAAUUAUGUAAGUUAUACAGUUUUGUCUCUUUUUUAGCAGGGGCUGUAAAACUGAAAAAAAUAGCAUAACUGGCAAGAUGGAGUUUUCUAAAAGCAGAUAAAAUUUUGAUGCUGAGUUUUAAAAGAAAAUACAUGCAAGACAAAGUUCUGCAAGAUGAGAAAGAAAUGGCAAAUAGCAAAACAAUGUGUUUCAGUAGCUUACAGGAAUCAGAUUUUAAAAAAUGGGACCUUUUCUGACUUACUAUUUUCUUUUUUAAUUAAUUUUUUUUACUGACUUAUUGACUAACUUUCACUAGGAAAGUUAUUUGUUUGCGUUUUAUUCCUUCAUAACACGUUUAACUCACUGCAUGAAGGAAUAUUGGGUGAUAUGUAGUGCAAGUUAUGAUAUAUAUAAAAUAGGUAAGAACUAGUGUGAGCUAGAAAUGAUACAGAAUCAGUACUAUUAGCUUGUCUUGGCUUUCCUCCUGAUCAUUCUUCUGCUACAAGAACUUGUCCCCAUGGAUUAUUUUGGGAAAAUGUUUUUGAAUCAUUCUCUGUGGUAAUAAAAUAACAGCAUGGCAUCAGAAACACCCAAUGUAAGUAUAAUCAGAAGAAAAUGAUGGAAUUUAUUUACUUGAAAGAAAAAACUUUUUUCAGGUUGAUAUAUUAUUGGAAAAAAAAAAUCAAUGAAAUAUACUAGUUUUUCACAGCAAUGGAGAUGUACCAUUCUUGCCAAAGCAUUGACUAGUUAAGAUUUUGAUGUCUACAGCUGCUCUUAGAGGUGAAAAAUUUGGGCUUAUUUCAUGGAGCCUUGGUCAAUGGAGAGGACAGUUAGUUUAAGAGAUGUGCAAAUGCUCCUGUGCAUAGAUAAGAUGAGAACAAAAGCUCAUCUCUUAUGUUCACGCCGAGUUAAGUGAAAUUACUGGUUUGUAAGAGGGGAAGAUGUAUUCUUCAGAGUGGCAAAAAGCAUGGCCAUUAAGACUUCCGUUUGGGAUCUGGGAAACUUCAGCAAGUCCCUGGUUUUAAUCAGCUGUAUUUUUUAUUCAGACCAGGAACUUAAAUGAGGUCCUCUCGUGACCUAUAUAGCUUUCUGAAGCAAGAGUGAUUCUUUUGCAUGGGGUAGCUCUGGAAUGCAUCAAGGAGAUGAAACGAGCAAUGCUCUGGUGAAUGCUUAAUCCCUCACACGGGUCUGCUCUGUUAGGAGAGGCUGAGACGAGUACCCUGCAGCAGGCCUGUGGUGCUCAGUUUUGGAUACUGGCAUGCCAAGAAAUUUAAUUAGAUAUCCCAAGCCCAGUACCCUCAACAUCAGACUGCAGAACAGUAUGACACAGCUCACUUGCAUGCUCUUUAUCUCUCUCUUGUUCAAAGAAUAUUGGGUUUUCUGUUGUGGGAAAAGGAGAUGAUAAAAACAAACAAGUAGUUUUGUGACAUGGGAAAGAGCUUUCUUCCUAUCUCUAUGUUUCAAUGGAUCAAGGGGGUUUCUCUUCUAGCACAACUUAGGAUACUGUCCGGUUCCUGAACCAAAGAUACCUAUCUGACUUUUCAGUCUCAGAAAUAGCUUUUUUAAAUGUGAAAAAUGGUUUUAUUUCAGUUUUUUUCCUUGGUGAUUGCAUGUACCACUCCUGUCUCUUCAUUUUUAACCACCCAGUCUUAACAAUCUAGAUUUGUUCUAUCCAAUCUUAACAGUACAGAGUUGUUUUCUCUUCUCUAUGUAUGCAGCUGACAGAUUCCAAGUAAGGAAGUCUAUUAUAAAGAAUUAAUCUUGAUGUGUAAAAUGGAAUUUUAAAAUGUGCAUGAUAAAAGAAGUUGCAUUUCAUUUCUGCUUAUGCUUAAAUAAUGAAUUCAUUUAUAGCAUUAUAUCCUAGAAAAAUAAUUCUGCAUAGGCCACAACUUGAAUCUAAUUAGAAAACCUCUGUAUUAUAGAAAUGCAUUCCACACAGAGUAGUUUCUGUAUUUAUCAGAUAAGCAGUAUAUGUCAUCGACUAAGGAUCUAAUUAAGGUUUCAAGACACUGAAAGGUAAGCACUUUAAUAAUUUUAGAUUAAUUUUACUUUUCCUAUAUAUAGAAAAAUGGAAGAAUACUAACAUAUCUAUUCAAUUUUCAGUUUUGUUUUGAUUUCACCUUGAAGUAUUAGAUACUUCUCAAAGAACCUAUUUGAACCAAAAUUGUAACAACUUCAUUGAAGGGUAUCAAGGGUCACAUUCUACCGCCAGUUAAAAUUAUACAGCUUCAGGGAUGCAGCAGAGGGCAGGAUUUCCCCUCAUAAUUUGAAUCAACUAAACACCUGUUAUCUGGAUAAAGGCACAAAUGAUAAGGAAUUGGAUACUACCUGAAAUGUAAUAAAAAUAUGUCUUCAGUAGCAACUAAAGCAGAACACAAAACAUAUUGCUACUGUAGUUGUGCACAUCUGCACAUCUGAAAUUAGAAACUGUCCCUAUCAGACAAUGAGCCAUGGCUCCCUAUUUGGAAGCUAUUGGCAGAGCUGUUCAACCUGUUUACUUGCUCAAACACAAAAUGAUCUCUUAAAUUGCUAAAACAGAUUGUAGAGAAAAUUGGCAAGAGAAGAUGUUAACAUGGCCCAGGGCUUCAUUUGUAGGAUUUGCAGUGCAAAGCCUGCAGAUACUUGUCUCCAAUGGCUUUUUUUCCACCACUGAAUUGAAGAGAAGGAGAAGAAUAGGAAACAGGAAAAAAUAACAGCAACAUCAAUGUCUACAUUUCAACCACCCAUCAAACCAACCAUCAACAAAGAGACUGGCUUUCAGAAAUUAAAGGGAAGCCAUAUGAGGAGUGUCUGAGGUCACUUCAUCUGUUCAGCCUGGAGGAGACUGAGAUCUCAUUGCAUUGUACCACUUCCUUGUGAGAGGAGGAGGAGGGGUAGGCACUGAUCUCUCUUUGGUGACCAGGGACAAAACCUGAGGGAAUGGCCUGAAGUUGCAUUAGGGGAGGUUUAGGUUGGGUAUUAGAAAAAGGUUCUUCCCUCAGAGGGUGGUUGGGCACUGGAACAGGCUCCCCAGGGAAAUGGUCACAGCACCAAUCCUGACAGAGUUCAAGAAGCAUUUGGACGAUACUCUCAGGCAUGUAGUGUGACUCUUGGGAGUGGUCCUGUGCAGCGCUAAUGGUUGGACUCAGUGAUCCUUGUGGGUCCCUUGCAACUCGGCAUAUUCUGUGAUUUUGUGAAAAUGACUGAACUCAUGCUUAAGAAAUGAUGAAUCUGUGGAAAUGUUAAGUAAUAUUUUAGAUAGAACUUGUACUAAAAAUUGAAACCUUUGAGAAUGCAUUUGAAACCUCAGUGUGUAUUCUAAUUAAAAAAGAAAAAAAAGAUCUCUCUUUACUGAUCAUUAUCAAAGCAUUAUGCAAAGUUAGAAAAAGACGGUGUUAAAUUAAUCCCUAUGUAUAUGAAUUCUUUACCUACAGUUUCAAUAAAAAGUCUGAAGUUAUUUAACAGCAUGGUGCUUUGUUACUUCUUCCUGCUGUGAUCCCUCUGUAGAACAACAGUCACCAAACGUUCAGCUUUCUAAUAUUUUCUUUCAUUUAUUGUUUAUUUACUGUAUGGUAUGAUAUUCCAUACACUAUAAAAUGUUGUAAAAGGAACUUGUAACUUCUUCAUGGAGUUUUUCAAAAACUUCUUUCUCACUUCUUUAGUGGUUUUCAUUUACAUUGUUGUCAGAGUUGCCUAAGAAAUGAGGAGGUAUUGGAAACCCCUUUUAUGCAGACCUUAUUUAGAUGAAGAACUAAAACACAGAGAUUAAAGUGCUUAUGCUAAUGCAGUAAGUAGCACCUAGAGUAAACCAUUAUCUUCUGUGUGAGCCUUCCAUUAGAGGUAGAGGGAUGCAGAGCCUUUGCUAGGGAAUUUUACAACUGUUUGUUGAGAAGCUGGAAAAGAUUGCUGGGAAUCCAGAACAAUGUGUUCAUGAUUCAUCAGGGGUGGCACUGACUUCUUUUUCUGUCCCCAUAAGUUUUUCAGAUUCUCUUUCUUGGUCUCUCUUUCUAAAUCCUUCGUGGUACACAUGACAAUAGCUCCCAACAUGAGGGAAGAAACAUUAUUUUUAGACCCUGAAAUGCCAAGUUGAAAUGUACUUUUUGGAAUCUUACUUAGUCAUUACAAUCAUUAUGUGUGAAUCUGUCAGUACAGGUGGAAUUGAAUAAUUUAGGUAACUUUGACUAUGGUAAAAGGUCUGCUGAGCAUGUGGAUGUUCAGUUUGCAUCAGUGUGUAACUGUCGUAUUAGGCCAUAUUCCAUGGGGAUAGUAAAACAGAUAUCCCUAAAAGGGUGACAUUCUUCACCUGCUGAAGGUCAACUACCUGGUCCAGAGUGGGAGAAAGAGUGAUGUUAUGAGGCUGCUUCCUUUGUAAGACAGGUGGAAAGGUGCAUAACUCUUCACAGAAGCAUUUUGUCAUUGAGAAGCUGGAAAACAAACCGCUGCCCAAGAGAGGCAACUGCAUUUGGAAAAACUGCUAGCAUUAAAAAUAAGGAUUUAUAAUGGCUAUUAUAUCCCAUACUGCCUAGAAUAACAUGAGAUGUGUGAAUUCAGAUAGGCCUUUGGGGUAAGUCCGUUGAAACACUAAUCCCAAAUGUAUACUGAAGUUCAGGUGAGCUACUAAUGUGAGAGAGAAACUCCGCAUUAGCAAAUUGUAUAAAAUGGAAGUGCUUGUCUGUCAGACACAAGUCUAUUUGGACUUGAAUAACAUGUGACUUUGGGAAAAUUUCUGUUUGGGGAAGGCUCCCUUUUAGCAACCUCACUGUGAGGAUGGUAAGUAACCUCAAAGAAGCCUCUCAAAUGUGAAGCUGAAACUGUCCUCAGAGAUGCAAGGGGAAAUAUUUUAGGUAAAGUGUAUCUCUGGUAGUCAAAGCAAGCUGAUGUGAUGCCUGUAUAGCUGCUUCUUAAAUGAUCUUAUUCCAUCUGACUUUAUUCUAUAGGCUUGCUUAGAAAGAUCUCUUUUGUCUAGUUUUUUUAAGCAUGUAAAAUAUGAUAUAUAUUAAUGUGGUUGAUUAUAUUUUUUAGGAUUUCUGAAGUCUUUUAUAAGUUUACAGAAGAAGUUGCUGUAACUGUGGCCUAUUUUUUCUGUAUCACUGUUUUCAUCUGAAAUUAGUUGAUUACAAAAGUUAUGUAGCCUCAAAGUUUCAAAAAAUUUUCAGUGAAGUUCCACAGGGGGUAAUAUAGUCUUUCUGAUUCUAAUUUAAAUAAAUAAAUUUGACAGGAUGACUGUAACCUUGCUCACUGUAUUGACAAAAUAAAAUGAGUUGUGUGGUGGAAAUAAAGCAAGCCAUCCAGAAAAAUCCCCAAAGGCAUGGAUUUACUGCAUGUGUAAGUGGGUCAACUCAUGCAUGAGAAAUGAAUGCUAAAUGUAAAUUGGUUGCAAAACUGUAGACUUUAAGUAGAAUUGAAUCAAGUGAAAACCUGAAUACUUUGAUAGGGAUGUUCUAUCAUGCUUCUCUUUAGAAAACAGCAACAAAGCCGAGAAUUACAGAAAAAUAACUAAAGCAUGUAUUUGUGUUAAUUAGAACAGUGUCAUUGAACUCCAGAAUCAAAGGCAUUGUAUUCGUUGAUGUCACUGGCAUUGGUAAAUUUUAAGUUGAACCUGUAUUUGAUUAAACCUGUAUUUGGGUUGAUGAAUUGCCUUACGUGAGAUACACUUCAAUUCAAUAAAGACUGUGGUAUUUCUUAAUGAGCAAAAGGUUUGAUCCAGUUUAGAAAAAUACUUCUUGUGUUUUGCCUGGUUAAAAUAAUAAUAAAAUAGAAUUUUCUAGUUAGGAGAUAUAAAAGAAAAAGAUGGAAAUUUCUGUCUCCCUGGUUUCAUUUUCUAUUUUUGGUAACAACAUUCAUAUUUCAAGGCAAAGCUUAUAUCAAAAGCAUCAGUCAUUUAAAAAACUGCUACAUAAUCUUCAAAUAUGUAACAUAACAUUUCAUGGACUUCAUUUUUAAUCCAUGGUAAUUGCUGUCUUGUCAACAGAUGCAUUUGUUACAGACACAAAUUGAUAUAAAAGUUUACUUCUGUACUUACUUAUAACUCUGAACAUCCUAAUUGGAGGCUAAACCAGCUAUGUAAAUGUGAGGAAUGAAUUGACAGUUAUGCUAUUUUCACAUUUUGCUAUGGUAUCAACUGUGUUACGCAUGGCUCUUUGUGCUGUAGCUUAUGGAAUGAAAAAUUCAAAGCUGUAAUGAAGGCAACUAUGAAAAGUGUUUUGUGGCAGCCGUUGUAAGCACCUAUCCAUUGUCUGACUAAAGAAUUUGAGUUUCUCUUUAAUCACUCGUGACUUCAAGACUUAAUCUACUUGGAUGGUUUCUGAUAUUUAAAUAUAUGUCUCUUUUUUUUUUUUCUGUUGUGAUACUAAGCAACUAAAUUAUGACAAAACCCCAACAACUUAUUUUUCCUGUGUCACUUGCCUAUUUUAGCAGUAUCAAAAAUCACUAAUUAUUUUUAAUGAGUGCAUAUUUUUGAAGUCAUUGUUUUUUACAUAUAGAAAAAAGACAAUGAAAAUAAAACGUCUUCAUAGCAGCUCAACUUGGGAGCUAAUUAAAAUGAAGCUUUUAGAAUGGGAAAAAAUUAAUUAGCCAAGAAGUUGAGAACUAGGAGUUAGCACCCCUAGAUAUCUUUGAGUAGUUAAAUGAUUGCAAGGGAAAUAUAAUUUCUAAUUUCCUUGGCUUACUAUACUGUCCAUUACCUGCCUAUCACUUUACCUUUUAGUUCUGUCUUACCUGAUGCUUUUGGGCUGUGCAUCAGUUGCUAGGGCAGCAUUUUAAGCAUUAAACCUCUUGCUGAAGAACAAGAUGCUCUGCUGCUUCUGCUAAUAUCAUCUUUAAUCUUGAUCCCUGGAGUUUUGAAUGUCUCACCCCUAUGAUGCUCACAGGCUUCAUUGACCUUGACAACAGGGAUAUCUGGUCCUCUGUGGCACUCAGUUAUUUUUUUUUUUUGCAUGUUAGCACAUAUGUCUGUGAUUUCCUUAGGCUGUCAGUAGAUACAUCAGUUGUGACAAAACCAGCACUGUAGUAAGUGUAAUUAAUGACUAAAAUUUUUAACCAUCCUAAGACAAGAAGGAAAGUAGCAAAAGUUUGUAUGUGCCAUUUCUGCUUGUGUCUACAAAGAUCUGAGAGUAUAAGGUGCUUACUCCUCCAAAAAGCAAAUUAGAGUGACUUUAGUAUUGCUUGCUAACCCUUUCUACUCUAUAAUGACUUAGCUACAGAAGUAUUUUCGUGGUUUUUUUCAAGGCUUCUUUCUCUGAUUCUUUGUCUGGCUCACAGCAACAUAGUCUUGCUGUUAGCAAACACAAUAUUUUAAUGGAUAAUUGAAGGGUGAUGGGUUUUUUUCUUUUUUUUUUUUCUUUCUUUUUCAAGAUCUGCCUUGAGUUUCUUUCUUUCCUGUCCUUUCUCAAUUUGUAAUUAGUGACCCUGUUCAGUCCCUCAGAAAUAUAAAGGGGCAGAUAUUGAAUAUUUCACUAAGCAAGCUACAAGCAGAGUUUGAAUGUCAGUCUCCACUGGACUUUCUCAAAGUCUAGUCUGAAGAAAAUAUCAUUUGAGAAGUGGGUAUUUUUAACUUCAAGGCUGGCUUUUUUCAGCCUUUCUGAGUUUCAGUCCUGCUGUACCCCUGCUUUAUAUCUCCUUUCUCCUUUUUUCACUACAGAACGAUGGUGUAAAGUGAACUCAUACCCAGUUUGGCCCGUCUAGCCCUUUUCUCACCUGAGGAGAAAUAUGCUCCAAACUGUGUGACUUAUGUUGCCAGGGUUAACUGAUUUUUGUAGGGUUUGCCAUCAUGGGAUAGCUGUUCCCAGUUUCCAGAACAGUCAGUGGGCAUGUAGCUGAGGAGGAUAGUGUGGCUGCUGUGGGUUUUGGCACAGCAGAGCUGGUCUUUGAGGGAAAAGGAGAGGAUAUUCUUACGGGAAACUGUGGCCAGACCCAGAGUCUUCAUUAGAGCAAGGUCUGGGUGUCUCCAGGCUGUGCCUCAGUGUGCCAAUACUGAGCAGAGAUCCUGCUCCCUCCUCUUGUCAUUUAGUGGGACAAAGGCACAUUGUCACCUUUUAUCUUGAAUGAGAUUGGCUACCAUUUUGUUGCAGAGCUGGAGCCACUCAGUUGUGCUGUUCCCUCAGGCACCACUGAUGGAAAAUGAAGGAUUCAGAGGAUCUGGAAGGGUGGCUCAGUCUCAUCUCUCAUGUUUUCUUGCCUGCUCAACAGGGAGACCCGCUCUGGUGUGGGCUGGGCUGCCCUUGGCUGCAAUGCUGUGAGCACAAGGGGAAGGGCCAAAGGUUUUGUUUGCCUCUGCCAGCAAGCUGUAGACUUGACCAGGGCAAGGGAAGCAGGCAUGGAAUGAGGUCACUUGUUUGGCAUUGUCUUUUGUUUAGCAUUCCUUUCUGUACAUUGUGUGUUUCUGGCUCAGAUAAUAGCUGGCUUACUCUCUUGAAUUGAGUCAGCAGUCAGGUUCCUUUUCAACAGAAAUGGACUGGAUGAAAGGCUUAAAAAAGCUUGGUGGUGAUAGAAAAUUAAGCAGAAUUAUCAAUGAAGGUGAUGGCAAAAAGUUAUGGAAAGCUCUGACAAUAUUGAGGGAUUGGAGAUUAAAUGAUCAGCCUAUAUUGAAAAUUUAUAUAAAAUAUACUGAGAAGACACAAACAGGGAUUGAGUUGUCACUAGGAAGAAAAAAUUAAGUAGAAUAAGCCUAUAAAGUCACAGGUAGCAAUACAGCUGCAGAAGUGAAUGUGAUUAUGUACAGUUUCUUAUAAGGCAAGAAUUAGGAGCAGGAAAUGUAGCUGUCAGGCAUCAUACUUAAAAGAAAAACAAAUAUGUGGCCUAUAACAAAACUGUGAAAUUCAUUAAGGUAGGAGCCAGGGAAGUCUAGAAGUAUAAAAUACAUUAAAAGAAAGAUGAGACAAGCUUGUGAAAGUUAAAUUUAUCGGGAGGUAUUAACUGUUGUUACCUAAAUCCAGUGACAGAAUUGUGAAGGCUCUGGGAUGCUGACAGCAGGAAAGUGAAAGGAUCUAAACACGGGCAAGACUAUGUUUCACAGGUGCCUUGCCUUGGCAUGCAUUACUGAGCAGUGACGAACCAUGGCGGUGUCAUCAGUGAGACCAGAGAGUCCAUCAGUGAGCUUAGAACCUUGUGCUAUUUCUAGUCACAGCUGUGUCUCAGCCCUACCGAGCAGUGACCAACCCAUUGCAUCCUUGGUUAUACAUAGCUGGCUUGAAUGUACAGAGUUAGAGUUAAAAAGGAUUAUUAAUUAUGCACCUGACCGUCAACCCCUGUGAUAUCAACAGACUUCAUUCAUGACAUCUCAUUGUCUUCCCAGCCUUUCUGUUACAAACCAGAAAACCUGUCUGAGUCUCGAAUGGCAGAUUUUUGAAGAGAUGGCUGUGGUACAAAGGUAAUUGAGAUAUCACAGAUAUUCCUUACGUACAUACAAGGGUUCUUGCAUGGCCAUGGCAAUUGACAGACAAGGUAUUAGUCAAGAGUAAGAUGGCUUUGACCCCACUAGCAUUUUACUGGUUUUCAAGUUAAUCUCCUUAUCAUCUGACCACAACUUCCUUGGUGUUGCAAGACUCUCUUGGAGCGUACGAAGUAGAUCCAUUACAGAUGAAACUAAAGUGAAUGAUGCACUCCAACCACUAAAGUGUAUCCAGUCCAUUGGACCAGAGUAGAGCUAGACCAUAUCUACUCCCCCCUGCUGUAAAAUAUGGAAUUUAUGUCCUCAGAACUGUUUCAUUCUAGAGAACUGCUCCUGUUACGCUGCAGUACUUCCUAAUGGAAACAUUGCUUAGGCUUAGGAAUGAGUGAUCGCUUUGAAGUUAUGUUCCUGCGAGACCUGAGAGUGAUACUAACUGCAACUCCAGGCUUUAAAAUUCAGAAAGAGGAAUGCUGGAAAUAGUGGGUGCUGAAAAUCAGAUUGUUGCAUGACCUCUGUAUGCCCUGUCAAGGGGUCACUGAGACUUGUCUGGUGUGUGCACUAAACUUGUAAUUUAUGUUUGCGGAGGAUGUCAGGAGGAAGAUUCAUGUCUGGAUGUGCAGGUGCUCCAUUAGGACUUAGAAAGACAUGGAUUGAUUAGGUGGUUAUUGCCAUCUGCAAAAUUAGCCUGGUCAGAGACCCCUGACAGGGAAGCUUGGUGCAUAACCAGUGAGCCAGGCUGCAAAAUGUUAACAGUAGAUAACUAAGAUAUCUGUGAGAGCUAUCGCAUCUGAUAUACUGGCUCUGAACUUUUGGGGAUGACAUACUGCAUCUGUCAGAUGGCAGACUUGAAUUUUGCCAUGAUUUUUUUGUGUCUGGAUCAGCAGAACAUGCACACAAUCCUCUGUGUGUGUAUGAGAUACAGAAGGGAAGGCAGGUAGCCAGAAAUUUAGCUGUUCUUUGGGAGCAGCAUGUAAAUAUAUGCCAUAUGUAUAAAUGAGACUUGGGAAUUGAGUAUACUCCACAGGUAUAAAUGAGACUCAGGAGUUAUCUGGAAGGCUUGUGUCUGUAGGAAAAGAUAUUCCUAUGGCUCAGAACAGCAUGAGGAACUUUGACAAUCCAAGGAAAUCUGCUCCAUGUGAGCAAUUUGUUUAUAUUUUGCAACACGACCUUUUCUGACACGAGCUCCAAAUAAAACGAGAGGGUCGAGAACUGAGGCACAGAGUCCUUCUCUGUUAAACUAAUAAAGCUGGCUGUUAAAAUGUAUCCCGUGGAUCUGGCAUUCAUUCACGUGCGUAUUCUGCUCUGUGUUUGGUUUCUGGUCUCAGAUGUAUACUGUGCAGAAACAGGGCCAUUUGCUCAGUCCCGCUUCUCACUGGUUUUCAAGGGCUGGCUGGACAGAAGAAAAAGAAUUUAGGAAGUGUCUCCUAUUGAAUGAGCACUUUGACCUGCUCUAGUUAUGAACGUUGCACUGUAAGGGCCACUGAGUCAGGUCCUCAGCUGUCAUCAGUAUUUGCUCACAAAAAUCUUGUCAUGCAUGUUUUGAGCCUGAUCUUGAAAGCUUUGAGAUUUUUGACCCUAAGUGUCUGUCCAGGUGUUACUUGAGGUGUUUCUUAUUUGUCAGACAAUUCCUCUUAGACACGAUUGAAUGCAUGGAUCAACCAUCACUGGUUUGUACUACACCUGGAUUUGGGAGGUCUGCUCUUUAUUCCUGACCUUGCUGAUAGCAUUCUUUGUUGCCUGUGGCAAGCUACUUCACUUCUGUUUCCUCUUCCACAAAAUGGGGAUAGUGCUGCUGAGGGCCUUUGUAAAACUCUUUAAAGAUAUAAUGAAAAUGAUAGAACAGCUGAAUAUUAUGGCUGCUGGUGUUGCUACUUGUGUGUGUAAAUUUUGUAAGUGGUAACUUGGAAACACUGGAAAAAGUACAAGAGGGAGUGUCUUGAGUCAUCAGUUCUAGUCUUCCCUUUUGUGGACAAGUAUAUCAUACAAAAUUCUCAAAAACCAUGUCAAACUCCAUAUUAAUCUAAUCAUAGCUUUCAUUUGUUCUUUGUGAAGACAGUUUUGUAACUUCACUGCCUGCAGAUUAAAAGCCUCAUCCAAUUUGCAAAAAAAAAUUCUUUAUGUCUGUGUGCGAGCACUGUUGUUUUGUUUGCAUGGCACUUCUGCCUCUGUUAAAAGUUUAGAGAGAGGUGUCAUUAUCAGACUUUUGUUAUAUGAUGCUGAAAAAGUAAGUAGGUUUUACGUGUCUAUGCAAAAGUCCCACUAUUCCACAAAGUCCUGCCUUUGCCUGUUCUGAUGAGACCUCACUUUUUUUUCAAAUACAGAGGAUGACAGUGUUUUUCAUGCUAUUGUAAGUGAGAUUUUAAAAAUACCUUUCUUAAUUAAUUUCAAGGCUAUAUUUACUUUUCUUCAGGGCUAUUUUGUUGGCCUGCAGCCACUGUGUGAUUGAUUUGGAUGUGCAAUUACAUCCUUUUCCAACUAUCAAAUCUAUAAUUUGCAGCAGAAAUUCUCUGAAGAGCGUAUUUUUGCAUUAAGUAAUGUUAAAUUCCAUCUUAUUGCUGAAGACCUCAAACCUGAUAAUUUUGCCAUAGAGAAUCUUAUUUACAACCCUACAUCAUUAAUAAAAUUACUUAAUUAAAUUAAUCUUCAUCAGACCCUUACGGUAUUUCCUCCAGGUAUUUUUCAGCCUUUCAGCAUCAUUCUGCUCGUUGCACAACUCAUUGAAUUAUUUGUGCAAUGAGCUGAUCUUCAACCUGUCUCUGAAUUUGCAAUUCUUGGAUCAAUGGGCAUAUUUUCUAACUUAGUACAUAGACUUUAUUCUUUUGUACUACUUCUCUGUGGUUGCCAUACCUGAUUUGAUAGAUCAUUAAUAGGCCUUAUUAUGAGAUUUAUGAUUUCAGAGUGCCAAGGAUUUAUUCACGGCUCUUGGUUAGUUAUUUUCAGUUCUUUCAAUCUGGGCACAUAAAAGUCUGCAUAAGGGUAGACGUGUUGGAAAUUUUGGAGAAUAUAGAAAAUACCAAGGGACAACUUUUG